RNAcentral lists this unclassified non-coding RNA (409 nucleotides) under Anaphalis longifolia. Its description in RNAcentral is "partial external transcribed spacer". The stretch from base 358 to 409 matches the Rfam family "Eukaryotic small subunit ribosomal RNA", at positions 1 to 52 of the family's 1831-position model. Lineage: Eukaryota; Viridiplantae; Streptophyta; Magnoliopsida; Asterales; Asteraceae. The record is from RNAcentral.
AACUUCCACCUGGCAUACCUCUUCAGUCUUGUGUCAAUGCUUGUAUUGCAUUGAAUGCACAGCGGGUUUCUUGUGUUGCAUGCCUAAUUAAUGGUAUUUCUUGAUGAAUUGGUAUUCCUUUUGUCUUGUGUCGCCUAUGCGAUGUGAGAUGAAUCUUGAAGCAGCCUUUGUGAUCCACUCUUUUGAUGCAAACGCAUUGAUUUUUGUGGCCCAUUGAGUGUUGCUCGGUAACAUGGAUAUGGAACCUGGAGUGGGCAUGGAAUCUUAAUGGUUCCUUGUUUGCCCAAGUUUAGCUUUUCUAAAACGAAUGUCCAUCAUGUGUUAACUAACGUGGUAGACUGCUUCGAAUAUGAAUGCUACCUGGUUGAUCCUGCCAGUAGUCAUAUGCUUGUCUCAAAGAUUAAGCCAU